Molecule: ribosomal RNA, 204 nt
Filed under: uncultured bacterium
Lineage: Bacteria
Description: partial 16S ribosomal RNA
Rfam family: Bacterial small subunit ribosomal RNA
Source: RNAcentral
GUAGGCUGAAACUCGCCUACAUGAAGCUGGAGUUGCUAGUAAUCGCGAAUCAGCAUGUCGCGGUGAAUACGUUCCCGGGGCCUUGUACACACCGCCCGUCACACCAUGAGAGUUGGCAAUACCCAACGUACGUGAUCUAACCCGCAAGGGAGGAAGCGUCCUAAGGUAGGGUCAGCGAUUGGGGUGAAGUCGUAACAAGGUAUC